GGACGUCCCCGUCCCUGGGCAUGCGGCCCUUCAGGUCGACCGGCGGAGCAAACUAAACUCUUUUGUAUUUUAGUGGCCUCUCUGAGAAAACAAGCAAAUAAGUUAAAACUUUCAACAACGGAUCUCUUGGUUCUGGCAUCGAUGAAGAACGCAGCGAAAUGCGAUAAGUAAUGUGAAUUGCAGAAUUCAGUGAAUCAUCGAAUCUUUGAACGCACAUUGCGCCCGCCAGUAUUCUGGCGGGCAUGCCUGUUCGAGCGUCAUUUCAACCCUCAAGCCCUGCUUGGUGUUGGGGUCCUACGGCUGCCGUAGGCCCUGAAAGCUAGGGGCGGGCUCGCACCAACUCCGAGCGCAGUAAUGUAUCUCGCUAGGGAAGUGUGGCGGGUGCCGGCCGUUAAACCCCCCAAUUUUUACAAGGUUGACCUCGGAUCAGGUAGGAAUACCCGCUGAACUUAAGCAUAUCAUAAGGCGGGAGGAAAACUUCCUGUGG
This 487-nucleotide ribosomal RNA is filed under the name Coniochaeta sp. RNAcentral describes it as "eukaryotic LSU rRNA". The stretch from base 107 to 260 matches the Rfam family "5.8S ribosomal RNA". The record is from RNAcentral. Lineage: Eukaryota; Fungi; Ascomycota; Sordariomycetes; Coniochaetales; Coniochaetaceae.